This is a non-coding RNA of Suricata suricatta (meerkat), 608 nucleotides long. The record is from the annotation of a RefSeq genome assembly. Lineage: Eukaryota; Metazoa; Chordata; Mammalia; Carnivora; Herpestidae.
GAGAGGAGCCCCAGCCCAGGGAGUUCCAGGUGUUCAAUUCUGUGAUCAGGACAGAACACAGACAUCUCGCCAUGGAGUUUGUGCUUGGCUGGGUUUUCCUUGUUGCUGUUUUAAAAGGUGUCCAGUGUGAAGUGCAGCUGGUGGAGUCUGGGGGAGGUCUGGCAAAGCCUGGAGGCUCCCUGAGACUCUCCUGUGAAGCCUCUGGAUUCGAAUUCAGUGGAUAUGGCAUAGCCUGGGUCCGACAGGCUCCCAAGAAGGGGUUACAGUGUGUCUCAAGUACUGAUAGUAGUGGAAGUAGUACAAUCUACACAGACUCCGUGAAGGGCCGAUUCACCAUCUCCAGAGACAACGCCAAGAACACGCUCUAUCUGCAGAUGGACAGCCUGAGAGUCGAGGACACGGCCAUGUAUUUCUGUGCGAGAGACACAGCGCACAGCUCCACGGACAGCCGCGCAGGCAGGGCAGCCUUGAGACCAGAGGCUCACAGUUCUGUGGACAACCGCACAUGCGGGGCGGCUGGCUAUCCAGAGCGCAUGGACCUUCACAGCCAGGUGCGGCACCACCGGGCAAGGCAGGAAAGAGACCAGGGGAAGAGACAUAGAGACUGA